RNAcentral lists this ribosomal RNA (694 nucleotides) under Vibrio cidicii. RNAcentral's name for it is "bacterial SSU rRNA". It matches the Rfam family "Bacterial small subunit ribosomal RNA", at positions 343 to 1029 of the family's 1533-position model. The record is from RNAcentral. Lineage: Bacteria; Pseudomonadati; Pseudomonadota; Gammaproteobacteria; Vibrionales; Vibrionaceae.
GGGAGGCAGCAGUGGGGAAUAUUGCACAAUGGGCGCAAGCCUGAUGCAGCCAUGCCGCGUGUGUGAAGAAGGCCUUCGGGUUGUAAAGCACUUUCAGUAGGGAGGAAGGUGGUAGUGUUAAUAGCGCUAUCAUUUGACGUUACCUACAGAAGAAGCACCGGCUAACUCCGUGCCAGCAGCCGCGGUAAUACGGAGGGUGCGAGCGUUAAUCGGAAUUACUGGGCGUAAAGCGCAUGCAGGUGGUUUGUUAAGUCAGAUGUGAAAGCCCCGGGCUCAACCUGGGAAUUGCAUUUGAAACUGGCAAACUAGAGUACUGUAGAGGGGGGUAGAAUUUCAGGUGUAGCGGUGAAAUGCGUAGAGAUCUGAAGGAAUACCGGUGGCGAAGGCGGCCCCCUGGACAGAUACUGACACUCAGAUGCGAAAGCGUGGGGAGCAAACAGGAUUAGAUACCCUGGUAGUCCACGCCGUAAACGAUGUCUACUUGGAGGUUGUGGCCUUGAGCCGUGGCUUUCGGAGCUAACGCGUUAAGUAGACCGCCUGGGGAGUACGGUCGCAAGAUUAAAACUCAAAUGAAUUGACGGGGGCCCGCACAAGCGGUGGAGCAUGUGGUUUAAUUGGAUGCAACGCGAAGAACCUUACCUACUCUUGACAUCCAGUGAAUCUGGCGGAGACGCUGGAGUGCCUUCGGGAGCUC